Molecule: transfer RNA, 73 nt
Filed under: Trichechus manatus latirostris (Florida manatee)
Lineage: Eukaryota; Metazoa; Chordata; Mammalia; Sirenia; Trichechidae
Description: tRNA-Val (TAC) (tRNA-Val-TAC-14-1)
Rfam family: tRNA
About the family: Transfer RNA (tRNA) molecules are approximately 80 nucleotides in length. Their secondary structure includes four short double-helical elements and three loops (D, anti-codon, and T loops).
Source: RNAcentral
GGACAGUGGUGGUUCAGUGGUAGAAUUCUCACCUUACAUGUGGGAGACCCAGGUUCAAUUCCUGGCCAGUACA